Molecule: transfer RNA, 77 nt
Filed under: Sphaerodactylus townsendi
Lineage: Eukaryota; Metazoa; Chordata; Lepidosauria; Squamata; Sphaerodactylidae
Description: tRNA-Ala
Source: RNAcentral
CUGGCUGUGGCUAAGUGGAAGAGCAUCUGCUUUGCAUGCGGAUAGUCCUAGGUUCAGUUCCCAGUGUUACUGCCAGG